GAGAGGUGGCCGAGUGGUUGAAGGCGCACGACUCGAAAUCGUGUAUGCGGCAACGUAUCGGGGGUUCGAAUCCCGCCCUCUCC
This 83-nucleotide transfer RNA is filed under the name human oral metagenome. It matches the Rfam family "tRNA". Rfam says of the family: Transfer RNA (tRNA) molecules are approximately 80 nucleotides in length. Their secondary structure includes four short double-helical elements and three loops (D, anti-codon, and T loops). The record is from RNAcentral.